CUGCUCAGAUUGAACGCUGGCGGAAUGCUUUACACAUGCAAGUCGAGCGGCAGCGCGGGGCAACCUGGCGGCGAGCGGCGAACGGGUGAGUAACAUAUCGGAACGUAUCCUUGAGUGGGGGACAACUAGUCGAAAGACUAGCUAAUACCGCAUACGCUCGAGAGAGGAAAGUGGGGGACCGCAAGGCCUCACGCUGAAGGAGCGGCCGAUAUCAGAUUAGCUAGAUGGUGAGGUAAAGGCUUACCAUGGCGACGAUCUGUAGCUGGUCUGAGAGGAUGAUCAGCCACACUGGGACUGAGACACGGCCCAGACUCCUACGGGAGGCAGCAGUGGGGAAUUUUGGACAAUGGGGGCAACCCUGAUCCAGCCAUUCCGCGUGAGUGAAGAAGGCCUUCGGGUUGUAAAGCUCUUUUGUUCGGGACGAAACGGUUAAGGCUAAUAACCUUGACUAAUGACGGUACCGGAAGAAUAAGCACCGGCUACUACGCAGCGUUUCGC
Molecule: ribosomal RNA, 498 nt
Filed under: uncultured Ferrovaceae bacterium
Lineage: Bacteria; Pseudomonadati; Pseudomonadota; Betaproteobacteria; Ferrovales; Ferrovaceae
Description: bacterial SSU rRNA
Rfam family: Bacterial small subunit ribosomal RNA
Source: RNAcentral